RNAcentral lists this ribosomal RNA (381 nucleotides) under uncultured microorganism. RNAcentral's name for it is "bacterial SSU rRNA". It matches the Rfam family "Archaeal small subunit ribosomal RNA", at positions 330 to 671 of the family's 1478-position model. The record is from RNAcentral.
GUGCAGCAGUCGAGAAACCUUCGCAAUGCAGGAAACUGCGACGAGGGAACUCCAAGUGCCUACGCUCAGCGUAGGCUGUUCUCAAGCCUAGAAAGCUUGAGGAGUAAGGGCUGGGUAAGACGGGUGCCAUCUGUGGUAGCAGUCAAUAGAUUCGAUUUGUUACUGCAAGGCAUAAGCCGCCGCGGUAAUACCCGCAGCCCAAGUGGUGGCCGCUUUUAUUGGGCCUAAAGCGUCCGUAGCCGGCCCGGUAAAUGCCUGGGUAAAUCGUGGAGCCCAACUUCACGAAUUCCGGGUAGACUGCCGAGCUCGGGACCGGAAGAGGGAGAGGGUACUUCGAGGGGUAGGGUAGAAAUUUCCUUCCAUUAACGUCUUUGCGCGAAG